GACGAACCGUGCAAACGUUAUUCGGAUUCACUGGGCUUAAAGGGCGCGUAGGCGGGUGAUCAAGUCAGGGGUGAAAUCCUCCAGCUUAACUGGAGCAGUGCCUUUGAUACUGGUCGUCUUGAGGGAGGUAGGGGCAUGUGGAACUUCCGGUGGAGCGGUGAAAUGCGUAGAUAUCGGAAGGAACGCCGGUGGCGAAAGCGACGUGCUGGAUCUCUUCUGACGCUGAGGCGCGAAAGCCAGGGUAGCGAACGGG
RNAcentral lists this ribosomal RNA (253 nucleotides) under uncultured bacterium. RNAcentral's name for it is "partial 16S ribosomal RNA". It matches the Rfam family "Bacterial small subunit ribosomal RNA", at positions 524 to 776 of the family's 1533-position model. The record is from RNAcentral.